RNAcentral lists this ribosomal RNA (638 nucleotides) under uncultured Actinomycetes bacterium. RNAcentral's name for it is "bacterial SSU rRNA". It matches the Rfam family "Bacterial small subunit ribosomal RNA", at positions 232 to 885 of the family's 1533-position model. Lineage: Bacteria; Bacillati; Actinomycetota; Actinomycetes. The record is from RNAcentral.
CGCGGCCUAUCAGCUUGUUGGUGGGGUAACGGCCUACCAAGGCUUCGACGGGUAGCUGGUCUGAGAGGACGAUCAGCCCGACUGGGACUGAGACACGGCCCAGACUCCUACGGGAGGCAGCAGUUGGGAAUCUUGCGCAAUGGGCGAAAGCCUGACGCAGCGACGCCGCGUGCAGGACGAAGUCCUUCGGGAUGUAAACUGCUUUUGCCAGGAAAGAUUAUGACGGUACCUGGUGAAUAAGCCCCGGCUAACUACGUGCCAGCAGCCGCGGUAAGACGUAGGGGGCGAGCGUUGUCCGGAUUCACUGGGCGUAAAGAGCGCGUAGGCGGCCUGUUAAGUCAGGAGUGAAAUCUCCAGGGCUCAACCCGGAAAUUGCUUCUGAUACUGGCAGGCUAGAGGGUCAGAGAGGUGAUUGGAAUUCCCGGUGUAGCGGUGACAUGCAUUGAUAUCGGGAGGAACACCCGUGGCGAAGGCGGAUCACUGGCUGACUCCUGACGCUGAGGCGCGAAAGCGUGGGGAGCGAACAGGAUUAGAUACCCUGGUAGUCCACGCCCUAAACGAUGGGUACUAGUCGUCGGAGGUAUCCACCCCUUCGGUGACGAAGCAAACGCAUUAAGUACCCCGCCUGGGGAGUACGG